This 122-nucleotide ribosomal RNA is filed under the name Pteropus alecto (black flying fox). Lineage: Eukaryota; Metazoa; Chordata; Mammalia; Chiroptera; Pteropodidae. The record is from RNAcentral.
GUCGACAGCCAUGCUACCCUGAACAAGCCUGAUCCUAUCUGAUCGCGGAAGCUAAGCAGGGUCGGGUCUGGUUAGUAGUACUUGGAUAGGACACCACCCAGGAAUACCAGGUGCUAUAGGCA